CAUGUGGUUUAAUUCGAUGCAACGCGAAGAACCUUACCUACUCUUGACAUCCAGAGAAGCCAGUGGAGACACAGGUGUGCCUUCGGGAGCUCUGAGACAGGUGCUGCAUGGCUGUCGUCAGCUCGUGUUGUGAAAUGUUGGGUUAAGUCCCGCAACGAGCGCAACCCUUAUCCUUGUUUGCCAGCGAGUAAUGUCGGGAACUCCAGGGAGACUGCCGGUGAUAAACCGGAGGAAGGUGGGGACGACGUCAAGUCAUCAUGGCCCUUACGAGUAGGGCUACACACGUGCUACAAUGGCGCAUACAGAGGGCAGCAAGCUAGCGAUAGUGAGCGAAUCCCAAAAAGUGCGUCGUAGUCCGGAUUGGAGUCUGCAACUCGACUCCAUGAAGUCGGAAUCGCUAGUAAUCGUGAAUCAGAAUGUCACGGUGAAUACGUUCCCGGGCCUUGUACACACCGCCCGUCACACCAUGGGAGUGGGCUGCAAAAGAAGUGGGUAGUUUAACCUUUCGGGGAGGACGCUCACCACUUUGUGGUUCAUGACUGGGGUGAAGUCGUAACAAGGUAGCCCUAGGGGAACCUGGGGCUGGAUCACCUCCUUA
RNAcentral lists this ribosomal RNA (598 nucleotides) under Vibrio sp. MED222. Its description in RNAcentral is "bacterial SSU rRNA". It matches the Rfam family "Bacterial small subunit ribosomal RNA", at positions 938 to 1533 of the family's 1533-position model. The record is from RNAcentral. Lineage: Bacteria; Pseudomonadati; Pseudomonadota; Gammaproteobacteria; Vibrionales; Vibrionaceae.